AGGAUAAACGGAGGGUUCAUGCAAGUGGAAACAUAAGCCUGGAUACAGAACGGUGCCUGCACUCGGGCAGUGAGGAGACGCAAAGCAAAACGGAAGUCAUUCCAAAUGCAAAAGCAGCACCUGACCCACAGCCUCACCCCGAGGCUCAAAUUAGGUCAUCCGUGGGCAGCACUUGGCAGAAUUCCAACAAUAACCAUCGCCAGCACCCUCGUUUCCUUUCUUCCUGCUGAAACACAUCUCCCAGCAGUUCUUUCAGAAAGUAACAUCCCCUGCCUCCUCCUCACCCAACUUGGAAGACUUUAGGAUCUUCUCUGUAUCAUCGUUUUGCACUGCGGAUUUGGUGUGUGUGAGGUGGGGGAGUUGUCUGCAUUGAUCCUGCUCAGCACCUGGUGGUCUCUCCUGGCGAGGACUCCAGUCCUGCGUUUCAGACCCUCUCCGCUGGCUCCACUGACUUUUGUUCUCGUGGAGGCUCACAUCCCUUGGAAACUGGGCGAUGUGUGACGGUGAGCUCACCUUAGCUGCGGCUUCUCCCAUGAGGCCCCUGCUGGGUCACCUGCCACACCCUUGGGGGCGACUCAGCCUCUCGCGACCGAACCUCAGUCACCUCUGCGCACUCUUCACAAAUCAGCCUGUCCUUGGCCGGCUGAGCCCAGCUCAUCAAGAAUCCACCUCCCCCAGGACUUCCCUGGUGGCGCAGUGGCUAAGACUUUGCGCUCCCAAUGCAGAGGGCCCAGGUCCCACGUCUAGUCAGGGAACUAGACCCCACAUGCCAGAACUAAGACCCAGCACAGCCAAAGCCAAUGGGCGUGAAUCGGAACACACUCUGGGAGAUGGUGAAGGACAGGGAAGCCUGGCAUGCUACAGUCCAUGGUGUUGCAGAGAGUGGGACACAGCAUGGUGACCAAACAACAGCCAAGCAAACAAAUAAAAAGAAUCCCCAACUCCCAAUACCCAGCCGAGCUCCACGUCUCCCACCUGGGAUACGUGCCGCGUCCCUCUAACCUUCCAUCCGUUCCCUCACCCUGCCCGCCUGUCCCUGUGUUUUCAGAGUUGAGCCCAGUCUCUCUCUUCUAUUGCAAUAGUCUUGAAUAAAGUCUUCCUUGUCCAGGUUAUUUUUUUUUUUUUCUCUUUUACAAAAGGAAGGCUAAAGGCUGAGUCUUCAAUCUCCAGUAAGAGUGGAAGGGCAGAUCAUGCCUGGUGGAGGUUAUUGGGUCCAGACCGGGCUUGAGUGCUCCAUACCCCUCCCAGAGCCACCAGACACCCGGACAUGCCCUGCCUUUUAAAACCAAGAUCCCACAGUCGCUGAUCCUAGUUUAGACAGACCCUUAAUCACUGAGGUUGACCCCAGGUUGGGGGGGCAGGGCAGGGGGCAAGUGCAGCCAAUCAGUGCCCAGGUGAGAAAGCUUCAUUUACACACAAGCAUCCCCUUCAUAAGACAUCAAGGAAACGGCUUGCGUAGGGUGGGGGCAAGCCCUUAUGGAACUGAGGGCCCUUUCCGUGCCCUGAGCAAAAGCAUGUCUGAUUUCUAGGUUGUCCCACACCCAGGGACGGCUUUGUCUGCCACCCACAGAGCAGAUGUCCCCACUCACUGUUGUGAGAAAGCUGCGGCCACAGACAGAAUGUGGAAACAGUCUCCAGGUGGAGAACAUCCGGGGGUUGGGGGGAUGAGACAGGGUGCAGGAGAGGGUAAAGGGACCAGUGCAGGGAGCACAAGUUUGGAGAACUUCCGCCCUUUAUUUGGCACUUCCUUUUUAAAAAGAAAAUGUUUAUAAC
This is a long non-coding RNA of Bos taurus (domestic cattle), 1773 nucleotides long. The record is from Ensembl. Lineage: Eukaryota; Metazoa; Chordata; Mammalia; Artiodactyla; Bovidae.